This 1167-nucleotide ribosomal RNA is filed under the name Proteus mirabilis. RNAcentral describes it as "partial 23S ribosomal RNA". It matches the Rfam family "Bacterial large subunit ribosomal RNA", at positions 1766 to 2925 of the family's 2925-position model. The record is from RNAcentral. Lineage: Bacteria; Pseudomonadati; Pseudomonadota; Gammaproteobacteria; Enterobacterales; Morganellaceae.
GCUGAAGCCAGUCGAAGAUACCAGCUGGCUGCAACUGUUUAUUAAAAACACAGCACUGUGCAAACACGAAAGUGGACGUAUACGGUGUGACGCCUGCCCGGUGCUGGAAGGUUAAUUGAUGGGGUCAGCCGUAAGGCGAAGCUCCUGAUCGAAGCCCCAGUAAACGGCGGCCGUAACUAUAACGGUCCUAAGGUAGCGAAAUUCCUUGUCGGGUAAGUUCCGACCUGCACGAAUGGCGUAAUGAUGGCCAGGCUGUCUCCACCCGAGACUCAGUGAAAUUGAACUCGCUGUGAAGAUGCAGUGUACCCGCGGCAAGACGGAAAGACCCCGUGAACCUUUACUAUAGCUUGACACUGAACAUUGAGCCUUGAUGUGUAGGAUAGGUGGGAGGCUUUGAAGUGUGGACGCCAGUCUGCAUGGAGCCAACCUUGAAAUACCACCCUUUAACGUUUGAUGUUCUAACCUAGGCCCAUAAACUGGGUCGGGGACCGUGUCUGGUGGGUAGUUUGACUGGGGCGGUCUCCUCCUAAAGAGUAACGGAGGAGCACGAAGGUUGGCUAAGCAUGGUCGGACAUCAUGCGGUUAGUGCAAAGGCAUAAGCCAGCUUGACUGCGAGAGUGACGGCUCGAGCAGGUACGAAAGUAGGUCUUAGUGAUCCGGUGGUUCUGAAUGGAAGGGCCAUCGCUCAACGGAUAAAAGGUACUCCGGGGAUAACAGGCUGAUACCGCCCAAGAGUUCAUAUCGACGGCGGUGUUUGGCACCUCGAUGUCGGCUCAUCACAUCCUGGGGCUGAAGUAGGUCCCAAGGGUAUGGCUGUUCGCCAUUUAAAGUGGUACGCGAGCUGGGUUUAGAACGUCGUGAGACAGUUCGGUCCCUAUCUGCCGUGGGCGUUGGAAGAUUGAGAGGGGUUGCUCCUAGUACGAGAGGACCGGAGUGAACGCACCACUGGUGUUCGGGUUGUCAUGCCAAUGGCAUUGCCCGGUAGCUAAGUGCGGAAGAGAUAACCGCUGAAAGCAUCUAAGCGGGAAACUUGCCUCGAGAUGAGUCUUCCCUGUCACUUUAAGUGACCUAAAGGAACGUUUAAGACUAAGACGUUGAUAGGCUGGGUGUGUAAGCGUAGCGAUACGUUGAGCUAACCAGUACUAAUGAACCGUGAGGCUUAACCUG